This 460-nucleotide ribosomal RNA is filed under the name uncultured bacterium. RNAcentral's name for it is "partial 16S ribosomal RNA". It matches the Rfam family "Bacterial small subunit ribosomal RNA", at positions 338 to 795 of the family's 1533-position model. The record is from RNAcentral.
CCUACGGGCGGCUGCAGUGAGGAAUAUUGGUCAAUGGACGAGAGUCUGAACCAGCCAAGUAGCGUGAAGGAUGACUGCCCUAUGGGUUGUAAACUUCUUUUAUAAAGGAAUAAAACGAGGCACGUGUGCUUUUUUGCAUGUACUUUAUGAAUAAGGAUCGGCUAACUCCGUGCCAGCAGCCGCGGUAAUACGGAGGAUCCGAGCGUUAUCCGGAUUUAUUGGGUUUAAAGGGAGCGUAGAUGGGUUGUUAAGUCAGUUGUGAAAGUUUGCGGCUCAACCGUAAAAUUGCAAUUGAUACUGGCAGUCUCGAGUACAGUUGAGGUAGGCGGAAUUCGUGGUGUAGCGGUGAAAUGCUUAGAUAUCACGAAGAACCCCGAUUGCGAAGGCAGCUUACUAAACUGUGACUGACAUUGAUGCUCGAAAGUGUGGGUAUCAAACAGGAUUAGAUACCCGAGUAGUC